AUCUUCUUGAUAUACAUUUUCUGGCAAUGGUGGUAGCCAUGGACGCUUAACUUCUUCAAUUUCUAAUCGUGUUGUAAUAGAUUCGAUAUGAUCGAUAACC
Molecule: small RNA, 100 nt
Filed under: Staphylococcus aureus
Lineage: Bacteria; Bacillati; Bacillota; Bacilli; Caryophanales; Staphylococcaceae
Description: HMPRFS0000_0315
Source: RNAcentral